GCCCUGAUAGCGUAAUGGCUAACGCGUCUGCCUUCUAAGCAGAAGAUUGCGGGUUCGAGUCCCGCUCAGGGUGCUA
This 76-nucleotide transfer RNA is filed under the name Encephalitozoon hellem ATCC 50504. RNAcentral's name for it is "tRNA-Arg". It matches the Rfam family "tRNA". Rfam says of the family: Transfer RNA (tRNA) molecules are approximately 80 nucleotides in length. Their secondary structure includes four short double-helical elements and three loops (D, anti-codon, and T loops). The record is from RNAcentral. Lineage: Eukaryota; Fungi; Microsporidia; Unikaryonidae.